CUCUCUCUAGCCCCUUCCACAGGAUCAAGCAACCACCCCACCCAACUGGGGUGUCCUUGACAAAGGUCCUUCAAUCCAUUUCCAAAGGCGUCGCUGCCGAAAGACACCCUACCUUAAGGCUGUCAGCACCCUACCACCCCCACCUACUUUCCCUUGGCUAUUACUUGAGCUUUAUUUUAUCACGCUCUCCUCCCGGCCUGGGGACUCCCCUCACCCGUGGGGCCUCGUCCAGCAAAGUAAACAAUGCUGUCAAAGCGGGAUAACGCUGGGCGAGGCUUCCAGACUCCGCAUUCCAGCCUCCUCCCGGUGUUCUAAAAGCAGCAAAAACAAGCCAUCGCAGGAUGCCAGGGCCGAAUUCCUCUCCCAAAGUUCUUUUUUAAAAAGCCCCGGAGCCAGCUCCAAAAUCAAGCAUUAAUUUGCACAAUCUACGACAGGCAAUGCAGACUGUAAUGCAAGGCCAAGUGGAGCCAAAUCCGCCCGGGAAGGAGGCAGAGAGGAGAGAGAGAACUGGGUCGAAUGCGUAAGCCUGCCACGAAGCGGAAACAAGAGCUCUUUUUCGCGACAGGACAGCCACAUUCCCGAGUGGGGCGCGCGCCGACUCGAGCUGCGGGCAAGAGCGAACACGAAGUAAAGGGUCCCGAACGCUCGGGCGGGCCCAAGGGCAGCGUCCCCGGGGCUUCGGUGGAGCUGGGGGCGGGGGCGAAGCGGCCGGGCACCGAGGCGCCGAGGAGUUAGAGGACCGCGGCGGGACACCGGGCGCGGCGGACGGCUGGCCGGCGCUCACCUCCCGGUGUGGUGGAGAAGAGCGUCCCCCCGGGCGUGGUGCAAUAGUCAUGAGGUAGCUGCGCGGCGUCGCUGAUGGCCACGGUGCGGGUGGGGAUGGCGCGGCUCUGGCUGGGCUGGUGGCCGCUGCCGGCUGACGAGGACAUGGCUGUGGGCGCGGGCUCUCGGCUUUGUCCGGCGGGCAGGCGGCGGCGGCGGGGCCGGGGCUGCUUCGGCUCCUCAGGCGGACGGAAAAGCGCGCUCUGCGCGCUCCUCGCUCGCUUCCUCCCGUUCCCUCGUCCCGCUCCGCUCCCGCCGCCGCCCUCUCAGCCGCCGCCGCCGCCGCCGCUCGAUCCUCCGGCCUCAGCCAGCAGCCUCAGGAGCAACAGCAGCGGCAGCAGCGGCGACGACGACGACCGGAAGCGGGCGAAGGCGGGAGCCAGAGGGAGUUGGGGAAGCUGGUCGGCCGGAGGUGACGUCGCCGCGGGGCGGGGCGAGGCAGUGAGGGGCGUGGCUGAAGUUGUUGAAGGGGGCGGGGACGAGGGGCAGGGCUGAGGAAGAGAGUGGCUUAACCCCAGCGAGCGGGAGAAGAGCCAGAGGGAGCGCGAGCUAAGUGUUUGUGAGCCUGGUGAAGGCGGACAAGGAAAACUUUCUUCUUAUUGUUUGUCAUUGUCGGUUAACACCACUUUACUUGAGCAGACUUGAGUUUCUCAUGCAUUCCUAUGCAUUAAAAAUGUAAUUUUA
This 1506-nucleotide long non-coding RNA is filed under the name Homo sapiens (human). RNAcentral describes it as "non-protein coding lnc-LRRC20-2:1". Lineage: Eukaryota; Metazoa; Chordata; Mammalia; Primates; Hominidae. The record is from RNAcentral.